RNAcentral lists this ribosomal RNA (506 nucleotides) under uncultured bacterium. RNAcentral describes it as "partial 16S ribosomal RNA". It matches the Rfam family "Bacterial small subunit ribosomal RNA", at positions 29 to 523 of the family's 1533-position model. The record is from RNAcentral.
AGUGAACGCUGGCGGUAGGCCUAACACAUGCAAGUCGAACGGCAGCACAGGAGAGCUUGCUCUCUGGGUGGCGAGUGGCGGACGGGUGAGGAAUACAUCGGAAUCUACUUUUUCGUGGGGGAUAACGUAGGGAAACUUACGCUAAUACCGCAUACGACCUACGGGUGAAAGCAGGGGACCUUCGGGCCUUGCGCGAUUGAAUGAGCCGAUGUCGGAUUAGCUAGUUGGCGGGGUAAAGGCCCACCAAGGCGACGAUCCGUAGCUGGUCUGAGAGGAUGAUCAGCCACACUGGAACUGAGACACGGUCCAGACUCCUACGGGAGGCAGCAGUGGGAAACAUUGGACAAUGGGCGCAAGCCUGAUCCAGCCAUACCGCGUGGGUGAAGAAGGCCUUCGGGUUGUAAAGCCCUUUUGUUGGGAAAGAAAUCCAUCUGGUUAAUACCCGGGUGGGAUGACGGUACCCAAAGAAUAAGCACCGGCUAACUUCGUGCCAGCCGCCGCGGUAA